Molecule: long non-coding RNA, 8655 nt
Organism: Numida meleagris (helmeted guineafowl)
Lineage: Eukaryota; Metazoa; Chordata; Aves; Galliformes; Numididae
Exons: 3
Source: RefSeq, a predicted model, not a curated record
CGUGUGCAGCAUAACUGCCCCAGCAGCAGUGUGGGGCCGCAGGCUGACCCUGCCGGGAGCUGGGGGUUCCUGCUGCUCCCCUUAUCUGAGGCACAGAAUGGGCUGGGUUGGAUUGGGUUGGGUUGGGUUGGAAGGCGCCAUACAGCCAGUCCAGUUCCGGCCUCUGCUGCGGGCUAGGUGCCCCGCACCAGCUCAGGCUGCACAGGGGCCCAUCCAACCCAGCCCUGAAUGCCUCCAUGUAUGGGGCACCCACACUUCUCUGAGCAGCCUGUGCCAGGGCCUCACCACCCUCUGAGUGAAGAAUUUCUUUCUAACAUCUAACCUGAACCUUCCCUCUGUUAGUUUAAAGCCUUUCCCCCUUGUCCUAUCACUAUCAGACCGUGGGAUGGUUCGUGUGUGUGUGCCAUGGGGUGGAUUCCUUCCAUGCUGUCUCCUCAAGGCCAUAGCAGCACAGCCAUCAGGAUGGGGCCACCCUGGGCCCGAGCCGCCCCAUGCCGUGUCGCAGCUGGCAGCUCUUACUGCCACAGCGGUACUGCUGGCGGUGGUCCUUUCCCUUUUCCUUAUGUUUGUUUUAAGGAAGCAUUGUUUGGAUUUUGGCAGGUUGCUCCAGAGGUGGCACAUUUCAUGGCACUAGACAGGAGCAAAAUUGGGUCGUAGCUUUGAAUGUGUAGUUUAAUUUUGGAAUGUUUGGUUUUGGAAUGUUUAAUUUCUCUGCAGUUCCAGUGGGCUCAAUGUGCCAUGGGACAUGAUGCUGAAACAGGCGGAACCCUCGGUAAUGGCAUUAAGGCAGACCGAGCAGAAGUGCCACUCGGGCCAGGCUGGGUGCAUGGCAUUUUGGGCUUUUGGCAAGUACCUGUGCCUGCAGUUUAUAUUUGGUCUGUGUGUAACUGGCCUGACAUAAGAAGGCAGCUGUAUGGGUGCAUGCUGCAGCAAAGCAAUGGGUCUCCAUAUAGAAAGAGCUGUCCUUAUUCUGAUCCUUAUUCUUAAUCCCUAUUCUGAUCCAGAUCUGGGCAGGUAACGGCAGACAUACAUAGGAACACUCAAAUACACAGGCACAUUCUUGUUAAAUGUGUAGUAAGGUUUGAAUGUACACUGAUUUCUCACAAGCCUCACAUUUGCAUGUUGUGUAGCAGUGAGGAGCUGCUUGCACAGGGCGAGAACAAACCCAGGGGGGAUGCAUCUCACCUAUUCCUCAUUUUAGGAUCUAAUCUGCAGUGCACUGGUGGUGAUCCACUAGCAGAGCUUGGCCACAGAGAGCUCUCCAUGGCUGUAACAUCCUGUCUGUGUUCUGACUGCUGGAACCAAUGGCAAUGCACUGCACUAGGUGCCAGCCCCAGCUCUGGAGCUUGUCUUUCUGAGUACUAUUCGGAAAGCUGCAGGUCAAAUGAGUUGACAAAUGCUGGAGUCACUUGUGUUGUGCAUUAAAGAUGUAUCAUAAAUAAAUAUCAGGGCACUGCGAGAGCUGUGGUUCUGGAGGCAGCAGUCAGUGCAGGCUCCCUGCUCCGACCCACAGGGGUAAUGUGACGUUUUUGUGCCACUUUAAAUGAGCUCCAUCAUAUCAGGUGAAACGAUUCAUGAUAACCUCAUGCAUUUUAAUGUAAAUGUCAACUGCAGUCUUGUAAAAGCAAACGUCCCUUAGAUACUUUGUCUAAUGCCUCAGUGCUUGCCCAUGCAUUGUGGUUCCUGAGGGCGUUUUGGCAAAACUCUUGGCUUAUCCAUACAGCUCUGCACAGGUUAAUCCCAUAGUGCUGUGCGCGUUCCUCCUGUAUGGAGGGUGGGAGUUUUACCUGCCAGGGGCUGCAGCUCCCACAUGUCAUAGCACUCAUAGCUCAGCCAAAGAGCAGCAUGCUUUAUCAGAGACAGAUGAGAUCGGAGCUUUGCAGCACGUGUUAUCCUGCCAGAUUGUGUGCAGAGUGCGGUAACACAGCAUAUAAUGACGGUUUGUAAUUCUUUGUAGGUCACAUACAGUCACUAGCGUACCUGUGACAGCAGUGGCUGAGACAGUAGUGGAAGACAAUCCCACAACCUCGGCUCUGCGCCGUGUGCUCUGUGGGCCAGGUGAGGCCCGUCCCCGUGAGGUGGGGCUGACUGCCAUGGAAGGCCGUGCGUGUUUGAGCCAUCCAUUGCAUCUGAAAGAUCUCCAGCUCCCAGAAGAACAUCCACAGAGAUAUAACGUGACUCUGAGAAGCUGUGAGGACUCUGCAGCCAAAUGUGGGGCCAUCCGUGUUCUUGGGCUAGAGACUGACAUGAUCUGAACUUUCAGUAGGUCAUCCAGCCUCCGUGAUAGCAUAAUCAGAGCACGGGAUAAAGACGUGAUAAGCACGGACAGCAUCUUUUGGGAAUGCUUGAGUAGCUUUUUUCGUAAGCAGUGUAACAUCUGUUGUCGUUGGAGGCAAAAGUUCUUGUCAAAGAGACACGUCAUCCUUAUAAAUAUUAAUGGUGCAUAUGAAUGGCGGUGGGUGAAAGCUGCGGUGGAUGUUUGGUUAACGGGUGGAUUGCUCCUUAGGCUUCAGUUUGCUGUCACUGAAUUAUUUUUAAAAUUGCCAACAGUUUGUGUGGCACAGCGAACAAAGAGCUGCCUUCUCCCUCCUCCUCUCCCCAGAGUCCCUUCACAAAUGAAAUGUGUCCUCUUAACGAGUCUCCUGCCCGGUCUUGGAUGAAAAUCAGUCUAUCUCCUGAAACCAAGCUGGAGCUGGAGGAGCCGGGAGCUGUGGGUUAUAAAUGCGGGGAAUGAGGAAAGCUGUACAGAGAGGUUUGCAGCAUUGCCCAUCAGAUGGAUCCCUCUAGUGCUAUUGAUUUCUCUACCGCUAAAAGCAGGUGUUUAAACCUAAGAGGAAAACCUGCUCUCCGAUUCCAAUCUGCCUGUUACUACAACUCAUGUCUGUGGCUUUCAGCACUGAGUUUCUGUUGCCACUUUCAAAACCAUAAGGCUUUUUCUGUACGUUUCUGUUUAUCAGCCAGCUCGGCAGCAGUGCCCGUGUUUGUCAGCUGGGGUGCACAGAGCAGCUCGUGCCAGCAGCAGCAUUAAUCAGUAAUGCUCACAAGGGCCCCAUGUCCGCUCACAGAAGAGCCCCAAGACUACGUUCGCUCCCUAUGAUGAUUUGGAUUCCCCUUGGACUGUGGGGAUGUGUCCUGUUUCUGCCACCUCCAAGGUACUGGUGGUGACAUCCAAACACAGCAAGUGAUGGGGCUGCACUGCAGCAGCAGUGGGAAGGGCAGCGUGCCCCAGCUGGAGAGCGCUGGGUGGGUGCUGCUGGGCACAGCGCUGGGAGCUGGGCUCUGCUGGGGCAGAAGGAGAACCCGGUGUUGGUGUCUGCUUCAUUUGGGUGCGGCCUUCCUGUGCACAUGAAGCAGCAGUGUUGUCUUUGUCCCCUUUAUUUUAGCAGAUGCUUUUAUUGCCUUGACAUCCUUGCCCUCCAACCUGUUGGGCUUCAGUAGAGAGCUUGCUCAGAUGUCAUUGCAGAGUGCUUCAGCCGUUACCACUCAGACUGCUCUGCUGCCAGUGACAAUGGCAGAGCCCCGUGUCGUGCAAUGUUAGACACCGUCGCUCAGUCAUGUUGUAUUUGUGCAAGCCAUUUCAGGGAAGUGAGAAUGAACUGUCUGAGGUGAGUACUGCGGUUUGUCAGUCCGAUUAAGAAAAAUCUGCCUGCAGUGUUUCAGGGAGCAGUUUUGCGGCAUUUCUUGGGACGCCUCCUGUAUUUUCACUCCUUUAGUAUUUCUGCUCUUUGGAAGUUAUCCUAAGUACGGGCUUCACUUCACCAUUCCAUUUACCCUCUCUUUGUAGCAGUGAUAUUUUCAUCGCUGGCUCUCCUUUCUGAUAUUUUCAUUAGUUCCUAAGUGACUUUCAGGCAUUCUUGUUAAUUUACUUCUCAGCUGCUGAAGCCCUGGAACUCAGCCCUUGCUAAGGCUGCAGGCUUUUUUCAGAUGUGUCCCUCCAUGAGUAUUUUUUCUGACGCACAGCGCGUGGCCAGGAUGACUCCCAGUCUGCUCCUCUGGCAACGACACUCCACGUUUGUUGACAGGACACGGGUUUUAUUUUGAUCAGAUUAACACGUACAUAGUCAGGCUCAGAACUUGGCUCAUGUGUUUUGUGAAAUGCUCUAGGAAAUGUCUGCUUUCACGCUCUGCUGCAGAUUUGCAUCCCCAUUGCAAAUUACGCAUCUGUUCAGCAAUGACAACGUACAUUUUACGGUCAGUUUUGAUAAACACUGGGCUUUUCUAAAUCAAAAUGGGAAAUAUUUUACUAGUAGAGACCAACACCCUUUAUUUGAGGGUCCUGGUACCCAUUUCAGUAGCUUGUGUUUUCAUAAGUACUGGUUUAUAAGAUGCGUUUCCUGGAAGUAUCCAUGGACAGCGUAGGAAAUGCCCACAGUAAUAGAUAUUUGUAGACUGUGGCUAGCAGUCCGCAAGUCCAAGACAGAAGAAAUACCCUUUCUUAUCCACUGCAUCUUGUCUGAGACAUGCCAUGCUCAUACUGCAGGCUGGGUAUUUCUCAAAGGAAGUGGUAGUGUAUAGGCCAGACUGCUUUUAAUGGCAUGGAAAAGCACCUUCUGGGGACUUGGUCUGUCAUAGCAUCAUAGAAUCGUAGAAUCAUUAAGGCUGGAAAAGACCACUGACAUCACCGAAUCAACCCAUCACCACCAUGCCCACUGACCAUGUCACUCAGUGCCACAUCUACACAUCUGCAUGUGUUAUGGAAGGGAUGUCUACUUAUCUGUGAGAAGUGUAGUGUGUGUUCACCUCGCUGUCCUGCACAGCUCAUUUGCUUGGCAUACUGCUCCACCUAUUUGUGCUGGUGACUGGAUUCUGUAAUCUGCUGCCUGUCAGAGCUCUGGCAGCGGGGGGAGCAUGCCCAGUGCCACUGGGCUGCCUGGAUUCCAGCAAGCUCCUUUGGGAAUUGUGCCACCUAAGCCGUGGGCAAAAAUCAUCCAACCAAAGACUGCACCAGUUGGCAGCACCAUUUCCUUGUGUGCGGAUGGGGUUCAUUUUGGUUGAAACUAAAUCAGAAGUUCUGAUCUGAGCUUGCACCUGAUGUACUCUCACAAUGAUGGAGAACGGGGUGGCAGCAGAAGGUCCUCUGGAGAGCUGUGAGCCACGUGCAUGGCCACAAGUUUGGCUCAGUCUGGCGGGAGGCCCUUAAGAAACAUACACGAUAGAUGCAACAGCCUCAAGAGCAGCUCCUUCAACCGCUGAUCUCCUCUAUCACACACAAUUACACUGCCAGCACUUUGGGAAGGCUCCAGCGGUAACAGGAGAAUGUUUGUGCAGACAGACUUUGAAGAGGUGAGUACUGGAGUCAGAAGGACAAAGGAGUAGUGAUUCAUGUGAUAGCGGGUUGGAGAGGUGCUUCUUAAGUCUUGCCUCACCUCUUUAAUCUGUGCAGUCCUUGGCAUCUUGCUAGUGCUUUUCAUCUAGAUGAGUACAGUCAUCUCUCUCAGGUAGGAGAUGGGAAAUAUUCAAGUGUGGAGAGAUGGAAGAGAGAGCUGGGCUUAGAACAAAGCGAGUGUCCCGUGGCCCAUACCACUCCCUCAGCUACUGCCCCAUGCUGCUCCUCUGUAACUGCAGCUGCUCAGAAAAAUGCACAGAGCAAUUGACACCCAGCCCAGCUCUGUGGAGGAGAGAAGCUGCCCUGACCGGCUCAGAGCUUUCCUCUAGUGAUUUGGAUCUGUGUUGGAAUGCUUGCUCUGCUCAUGGGCCUUUCUGCCCCAGAUUCAUCAGAUUCCCUCAGAUGUCGUGGCCAUGGAGAGCAGAGGUUCUGCUUGCCGCGGUGGCCUCAUGGUCAGUGUGCGAUCCUGUGUGUGGUGCUGAGCAGCGGGAAGCACCGGGAGGCACCAUGCUGCUUUUCCCCAGGGAAUAUUGACCGCAGGAUGUCUGGUUGGGAGAACCUGUCUGUCUGGGUUUUGCUUCGGUUGUGUUCAGUGUCUGGGUGGCUCUUCUCUCACACCUAUCGAAGUGAUAUCUCAGCACUUUUCAGGAGUGCACGAGGUGACGCGAUGGCUAUCCUACACGGAUUGCUUGUUCUCACAGCCUCUCUGGUGGGAAGAGUGCAUAUCUUGGAGCAUUUUGCUUUGUACCUCAGUGCCCACGGAGGCUAACUGUUAGUAGGGCAGUGGGCAGGGAAGCUUGAGGUUCUGUGGUUGCUCCUGACAGCCCGGAGGGACCCAGCUGUGGAGGUUGGCUCUGCCCUGCGGUGGGAGCUCCUCUGUCCCAAGGAGCUCAGCCGUGGCUCUGCCGGUGCCCUUCUCUGUCUUGCUGAACUGCUCUUCUGUGGAAUGCUCAUUUGUCUCUUCCUUCUCAGUUUGUGGGAGGUAGAAAAUGUGGCUUCCCUAAGGGAGUGCAUCCCUUCUGGUGUGUGGGGGAGGGAACAUCGAGCUCUCAGCUAAAGGGGGAGCUGGGGGUGCUGCCUCAGAGGGGUCAGUGUGCUGGGCGGUGACAGAUGGCUCCUCAGUGCCUGACCGGGUCCCUGUGUAAUCCUGUUAGGGUGCCAGGCAGAGCCCAUCUGCUGGCGGAACGCUGCAGGCCGGGGAGAGCUGUAGAAAUCUGUUUGAUUAGUUGCAUUAGCCAAAGAAAACGUGAUGGAAAUGUUCUAACAAGCUCUUUAACUCCAAAUGCACAGCAAGAUUGGUGACACCCAGUGCAAGCACCAAAGGAGUCCCAGAAGCAGACGGAGUUUCCAAGCUCUGGUACGUCUGCGAUUAGUGCCCGGGGCAGCAAACUGCAUUCUUAGAGGGCUGCGAUGUACAAACAACACAUAUUUGCAGCACAGAUCCAGGGCUGGUUUCAGUUCUGCUACAUUAUUCAUGAGCGUGUGAAAACUCUGACAAAUGUGACAGACUCUGGGUUAGGUUCUCAACAUUACUUCUCGUACGAUGAAAUAUGAGUACUGCUCUGUUAAGAUAGGAAUGUAUACACUGGAAGCUGUGAGAUAAUGACAUAUGUAUAAAGGGAAACUGAAGCCUUUGGUGUCCUGGUGCCAGCGAGCUUCCCCCCAGGAGCGCGGUACUAUCUAGCUGCUGGCACUCGCAAUCACUGCUGUAUGCUUAAAAGCAGUUUGACAGUGUUCUGCUCCAGAAUUGCUUCUCGCAUAGGGUUUUGCAGGGUCACCUGCUUUUAAGUGCAGAGGAUUAGGAACCCCUCCACAGGUCCUGCAGGGAUCACACAGCAGUCUGUAGCCUCAUCAUCCCAAAGUGAGGAAAGUGACUCUGAAACUCUGAAAAUGUGGCUGCGCUGCAGUGUGUGGGGCUGAGCCCUGCUUGCACUGGGGCACACCAGCAGCCAGGAGCCACAGCUGCCAGGGCCCAGUGCAGAUGUUAGGACACAUUUUUCCUGGAGAGGGGGUGGUACAGCUGACAGCGCUUUUUGGGUUGUCAGGGAGGAGGUGCCUGUACCGAAGAGCAUAGUACUGCUCUUGUACAGUCCUGGUCCUGAUAAAGCCGACGAAUCUGAACUAAACACCGAGUUCCUUUGUCAAACACAAGUAGCAGCUGACUUCAUGUGUGUGAAGGGUUAGGGAUAAUCUCCUGCCUUCCUAAAGAAGGCAGGCCUUUUUUUACUGAAAACUGUUGAUGUGCGAAGGAUUCUGUCUGACCAAAGUAGGUUUGUACUUAAGUACAUGGUGCGAGAUCAUUUAAAAGAGCCCCUUGGAUGGAAAAGAAGGCAAUGAGAAAUGAGUGCCGUGCACCGGAGGCUGUUGGCCAAGCACUGCAGUCUCACUUUUCUAUUUUUAAAGCUCUCGCCAGCUGCUGUGUGGUCAUUCCCUCCACACCCACGAAAGAAAAAAAAAACACACCGAUUAGAAACAGGAAAUAAUAAAACCCACUCACUGCAAAGGAUGUCAAAAUGUACAGAGUAAACAACCAGAGACGGUGAGAAAUAUGUAUUUCCCACUGGUCUCUUUUCAGCACAGUAACCAAAGCUGAUAAUUAUAGUCAGUGGGGAUUUACAGCAUUAGGGGAAAGUACGUUUUUAUGUUGAUGCUGUCAAAACAUAGGAGAACACUGGCGGCACAGCAGAGUGUUUUCUAGCCCCUCUCCCAGCACACCACUGAGGUUGCCACAAGUUGAUAAGGUGCAUUACCAAAACAAUAGGGAAGGAAAAGAAAAUGAUGACAUUUCAGGCCCUAUUUUGGGAAGGGAUCUGCUGCUUUACUUGCCAUGUAGCCAUGCAGUCCCCAGCACUGGGCAGCCGAGUUUUCUGUAAUGGUGCAGCAAUGGGUGCUCAGGUCACAUGCAGCUUUCUCUGACCUCAGCGGUGUGUGCGGUGAUAUCUACGACUGUCUUUAUUGUCUUUCCUCUUCCGGGAUCCCGAGGUUCACUUUGCCUGACUGUUAUCACAACCUGUGAGUGCUCCGUGACUUUGCUGCCUCCAGUUCCCCUCAUCUUCUAAGGAAUGGCCUUCCUGCCCCGCAGUCCAAGGACCCUGGUGCUCUCCUGCUCCUGCCAGCCCUCUGCUGCCACCCCAAUGGCUUUUCAAAGGUGCUGGAUGAAAGGCACAGCUACGCAGAACAGGAUGCUAAAUCCAGAGCACUGCAGCAUUCUUACAGGAAUCAGAACUGAAAUCUCCUACGGUUGCACGGAAAUAGCUGUAACAAUAACAAAAAUAUGAAGAAGAGAUUGGCUGUUUGCUGCUUUGUUCAAUGAAGUGGUCUCAGCUGCU